This 502-nucleotide ribosomal RNA is filed under the name uncultured bacterium. Its description in RNAcentral is "bacterial SSU rRNA". It matches the Rfam family "Bacterial small subunit ribosomal RNA", at positions 20 to 507 of the family's 1533-position model. The record is from RNAcentral.
UGGCUCAAGAACGAACGCUGGCGGCGCGUCUUAAGCAUGCAAGUCGAACGGCAAGAUUAGUGCUUGCUCUCUUCCUAGAGUGGCGGACUGGUGAGUAACACGUGGGUGACGUACCCUUUAGCUGGGGAUAGCCGGUAGAAAUACCGGGUAAUACCGAAUAAUCUUGCUUCUUUGAAGUGAAGUAAGGAAAGGAGCUUCGGCUUCACUGAAGGAACGGCCCGCGCACUAUUAGCUAGUUGGUGAGGUAACGGCUCACCAAGGCAACGAUAGUUAUCCGGCCUAAGAGGGUGAACGGACACAUUGGGACUGAGAUACGGCCCAGACUCCUACGGGAGGCAGCAGCUAAGAAUAUUCCGCAAUGGAGGAAGCUCUGACGGAGCGACGCCGCGUGGAUGAUGAAGGUCGGAAGAUUGUAAAAUCCUUUUAAGUAUGAUGAAUAACCUGAUCAGGAAAUGGGACAGGGAUGACCGUAAUACUUGAAUAAGCAACGGCUAAUUACGUG